CCUACGGGUGGCUGCAGUGAGGAAUAUUGGUCAAUGGACGAGAGUCUGAACCAGCCAAGUAGCGUGAAGGAUGACUGCCCUAUGGGUUGUAAACUUCUGUUAUAGGGGAAUAAAAUGUGCCACGUGUGGGAUUUCGUAUGUACCAUAUGAAUAAGGAUCGGCUAACUCCGUGCCAGCAGCCGCGGUAAUACGGAGGAUCCGAGCGUUAUCCGGAUUUAUGGGGUUUAAAGGGAGCGUAGGUGGAUUGUUAAGUCAGUUGUGCAAGUUUGCGGCUCAACCGGAAAAUUGCAGUUGAAACUGGCAGUCUUUACUACAGUAGAGGUGGGCGGUCUUCGUGGUGUAGCGGU
Molecule: ribosomal RNA, 347 nt
Filed under: uncultured bacterium
Lineage: Bacteria
Description: partial 16S ribosomal RNA
Rfam family: Bacterial small subunit ribosomal RNA
Source: RNAcentral